This 1398-nucleotide long non-coding RNA is filed under the name Capra hircus (goat). Its description in RNAcentral is "lncRNA (ENSCHIG00010019779.1)". The record is from RNAcentral. Lineage: Eukaryota; Metazoa; Chordata; Mammalia; Artiodactyla; Bovidae.
AAAAGAAGAGGGUGGCAGAGAAUGAGGUGGUUACAUAGCAUCACCAACUCAAUGGGCAUGAAUCUGAGCAAACCCUGGGAGACAGUGGAGGAGAGGAGCCUGGGAUGCUGCAGUCCAUGGGGUCGCAGAAUUGGACAUAGCUUAGUGACUAAACAAUACAGAACAGGGGACACAGUCAUGUAGACUGAGUGCAUGAUGGCCCCACCGUGGACAUUACAGUAUUGAUGGGAACAGGUGUGACUGUUCACCAGCUUUGCCUGGGUCAUGAAGGAUUCAUGUUGGUCUUUUCUAACCCAUUCUAUUCUGGACCUGGCUGUCUCCAUCAGCCUCCAGUGGGGCCAUCCGUUGCGUUUCUCCCAUUGGCUUUAUCCCCUAGGCGUUUUGGGAUCCUGCAGUCAAUGCAGCUCCAGUCCUUUCUUUACUCUUCACCUAGAGCUGCCACUCUCACAGGCAGCUGUCUUCCUCCUGACUGCUCAGUCACUUGUCACAUGAAGAAUGGCUUGUGAUUCCUGGGGGAUUGGGACAUUCCUAUUCUUGAGAGGCUGAGGCAGCUGAAUUUGUAAGCCUACUCAUAUCUCUAUUCAGGAAACCUGCAGGACUGACCCUACAUGUGGGUGUUUUAAAAUUCCAUUUUCUGUUAGAUGUUCUAUUCAGGUGUUGUUUUGUUUGGUUUUUCCUUUUCUGUGAAAUACUGUCUGAGCAAGUUGCUUUAUUAUUUUCAUUUUUUAACUCAGUAUAACUCUCAGUUCAGGGUCUGGUUUUAGUAGCAAUUUAAAAAUCUAGCCCUUUAAAAAUCUGACUUCUCCUUGUUUAGUUGGUUUAAAAUGUCUGUUUUAAACACAUGCCUCAGCUAUAUAAAUUAAUGAAACCUUAAGCACGUAAGAGCCUUCUAUAUUUGAUGGGUAUUUUGUUGACCUGGGACUCUAUGAAAGGCACUGUCAGCCAAGCCUAUUUAGAAUUUCUUUUUCCCUGGAAAUGGUAAUUUACAAGAUUCCUAUAAAUAAUAUACAUAAUCUCCUUCCACAAUUUUUUACUAUGAUAAAAUAUACAUCACAUAUUAUUUACUCUCAACCAUUUAAACUGUGCAGUUCAGGACUUUCCUGGUGGAUCAAGGGUUAAGAAUCUGCUUGUUAAUGCAGGGGACAUGGGUUCAAUCCUUGGUCCAGGAAAAUACCACAUGCCUCAGGACAACUUAAGCCUGUACAUCACAACUACUGAAGCCUGACUGCCCUACAACCUGUACUCCACAACAAGAGAAGCCACUGCAAUGAGAGAAGCCCAUGAACAGCAACUACAGAGUAGUCCCUCUCCCUACAACUAGAGAAAGCCUGAAUGUAGCAACUGAAGACCCAGCAUCAGUUCAGUUCAGUUCAGUCGCUCAGUCGUGUCUGACUCUGC